GGAGUUAGCCGGUGCUUCUUCUGUGAGUGAUGUCCUUCCUGCCGGCUAUUAACCCGCAGGCCUUCUUCCUCACUGAAAGUGCUUUACAACCCGAAGGCCUUCUUCACACACGCGGCAUGGCUGGAUCAGGGUUGCCCCCAUUGUCCAAUAUUCCCCACUGCUGCCUCCCGUAGGAGUCUGGGCCGUGUCUCAGUCCCAGUGUGGCUGAUCAUCCUCUCAGACCAGCUACGGAUCGUCGCCUUGGUGAGCCGUUACCUCACCAACCAGCUAAUCCGACAUAGGCUCAUCCGAUAGCGCGAGGCCCGAAGGUCCCCCGCUUUCCCCCGUAGGGCGUAUGCGGUAUUAGCCUGGGUUUCCCCAGGUUAUCCCCCACUACCGGGCAGAUUCCUAUGCAUUACUCACCCGUCCGCCGCUCGCCACCAGGAGCAAGCUCCCCGUGCUGCCGCUCGACUUGCAUGUGUUAGGCCUGCCGCCAGCGUUCAAUCUGAGCCAUAAUCAAACUCUGA
RNAcentral lists this ribosomal RNA (506 nucleotides) under uncultured bacterium. RNAcentral's name for it is "partial 16S ribosomal RNA". The record is from RNAcentral.